Non-coding RNA from Triticum aestivum (bread wheat), 135 nucleotides. The record is from Rfam. NCBI's taxonomy places the organism in Eukaryota, Viridiplantae, Streptophyta, Magnoliopsida, Poales, Poaceae.
AUAUUACUUCCUCCGUCUGAAAAUACUUGUCAUAAAAAAUGAAUAAAAAAAGAUGUAUCUUAAACUAAAAUACGUCUAGAUGCAUCCCUUUUAUUCAUUUUGAUGACAAGUAUUUUCGAAUGAAGGGUGUAUUAC